AUCCAGUUGAGGAGUCCCAAAUAGGACGAAACGCGCGUCCUGGAU
Schistosoma rodhaini is the source of this 45-nucleotide non-coding RNA. The record is from Rfam. Lineage: Eukaryota; Metazoa; Platyhelminthes; Trematoda; Strigeidida; Schistosomatidae.